RNAcentral lists this non-coding RNA (28 nucleotides) under Homo sapiens (human). Lineage: Eukaryota; Metazoa; Chordata; Mammalia; Primates; Hominidae. The record is from RNAcentral.
UGGUUUAUCUGUGUCAUUGGUCAAAGUU